AUUGAACGCUGGCGGCAUGCCUUACACAUGCAAGUCGAACGGCAGCAUGAUCUAGCUUGCUAGAUUGAUGGCGAGUGGCGAACGGGUGAGUAAUACAUCGGAACGUGCCCUGUAGUGGGGGAUAACUAGUCGAAAGAUUAGCUAAUACCGCAUACGACCUGAGGGUGAAAGUGGGGGACCGCAAGGCCUCAUGCUAUAGGAGCGGCCGAUGUCUGAUUAGCUAGUUUGUGGGGUAAAGGCCCACCAAGGCGACGAUCAGUAGCUGGUCUGAGAGGACGAUCAGCCACACUGGGACUGAGACACGGCCCAGACUCCUACGGGAGGCAGCAGUGGGGAAUUUUGGACAAUGGGGGCAAGCCUGAUCCAGCAAUGCCGCGUGUGUGAAGAAGGCCUUCGGGUUGUAAAGCACUUUUGUCCGGAAAGAAAACGAACUUACUAAUAUUAGGUGUGGAUGACGGUACCGGAAGAAUAAGGACCGGCUAACUACGUG
RNAcentral lists this ribosomal RNA (490 nucleotides) under uncultured bacterium. RNAcentral's name for it is "partial 16S ribosomal RNA". It matches the Rfam family "Bacterial small subunit ribosomal RNA", at positions 30 to 507 of the family's 1533-position model. The record is from RNAcentral.